GUCACUGUGUCACCCCCUUCCUCACUCUGUCACUAGUCACCCUCUCUCUCACUCUGUCUCUAGUCACCCCGUCCCUCACUCUGUCACUAGAGUGAGGGGGUGACUAGUGACAGAGUGAGGGGGUGACUAGUGACACAGUGAGGGAGGGGGUGACUAGUGACAGAGGGAGGUGGUGACUAGUGACAGAGUGAGGGAGGGAAGUGUGUGACUAGUGACAGUCACCACCUCCUUCACUCUGUCACUAGUCACCCCCUCCCUCACUCUGUCACUGUGUCACCCCCUUCCUCACUCUGUCACUAGUCACCCUCUCUCUCACUCUGUCACUAGUCACCCCGUCCCUCACUCUGUCACUAGAGUGAGGGGGUGAC
This is a non-coding RNA of Pelobates cultripes (western spadefoot toad), 368 nucleotides long. NCBI's taxonomy places the organism in Eukaryota, Metazoa, Chordata, Amphibia, Anura, Pelobatidae. The record is from the annotation of a GenBank genome assembly.